Molecule: long non-coding RNA, 642 nt
Organism: Hemiscyllium ocellatum (epaulette shark)
Lineage: Eukaryota; Metazoa; Chordata; Chondrichthyes; Orectolobiformes; Hemiscylliidae
Exons: 3
Source: RefSeq, a predicted model, not a curated record
GUAGUUUUCCUGUGCGAUCUGUCACAUUUCUAGUCUUUCUGGUCUCUGUCAUUUCAUUACUGAUCUGGGGCAGUGAAUGGAAAGAUCGAUACUGCCCUUGCAACUCUAGGAAUUCAAAGCAAUGUGAGAACCAAGGAAAAUCAUGCGAAGUUGACCCUGUGGAAGAUGCUGAUGUUCAUGAGGAAAUAACAUCAAAGUUAUGAACAUCUUGGGAUUUUUAUUUCCAAUCUGUCAAGUUUUUUCUCUCCAAAGUGCCAUCUCGUCCAGCAAUUCACUCAUGCAUAGGCAAAUCUAACAUGUUGCUGAAGGCCCUCAGCUGCCCCACCAUUUCACAAAACAAAUGUUCUUCUCACCAUAGCAUCAGCUGUAGGUACUAUGCCCAGUGAUGAGCAUUAGCUAACUGCUGUGAUAUAUCCCUACCACUGAGCCACGAGGUUGGAUUCAAGUCCCACGUUUUCCAGAAGUGUAUAAUGCCAAUUCUAACAGGUUGUUUAGAGAAUAUCUCGUCUCACCCUGUUGAUUUAGUUGAUAUUACUUGCCACAUUUUUGACAUCAAUUUAUUAAAUUGUGUUUGAGAGAGACAAUAGAUGUAAGGAACCUAAAACCAGUAUGACAUUCACCCUGAAAAGUUUCACCACAAAA